UUUCCGUAGGUGAACCUGCGGAAGGAUCACUAAAGAGAACUGCCUUCGGGCUAAUCUCCCACCCUUUGUUUACAUUACCUUUGUUGCUUUGGCAGGCCGCCUUUUAGGCUCCCGGCUCCGGCUGGGGAGUGUCUGCCAGAGGACCCCAACUCUUUUGUUUAAAUGUCGUCUGAGUACUAUAUAAUAAGUUAAAACUUUCAACAACGGAUCUCUUGGUUCUGGCAUCGAUGAAGAACGCAGC
RNAcentral lists this unclassified non-coding RNA (241 nucleotides) under uncultured fungus. RNAcentral describes it as "sequence contains ITS1, 5.8S rRNA gene". The stretch from base 193 to 241 matches the Rfam family "5.8S ribosomal RNA", at positions 1 to 49 of the family's 154-position model. The record is from RNAcentral. Lineage: Eukaryota; Fungi.